GACGAACGCUGGCGGCGUGCUUAACACAUGCAAGUCGAACGGAAAGGCCCUGCUUUUGUGGGGUGCUCGAGUGGCGAACGGGUGAGUAACACGUGAGUAACCUGCCCUUGACUUUGGGAUAACUUCAGGAAACUGGGGCUAAUACCGGAUAGGAGCUCCUGCUGCAUGGUGGGGGUUGGAAAGUUUCGGCGGUUGGGGAUGGACUCGCGGCUUAUCAGCUUGUUGGUGGGGUAGUGGCUUACCAAGGCUUUGACGGGUAGCCGGCCUGAGAGGGUGACCGGCCACAUUGGGACUGCGAGAGGGACCAGACUCCUACGGGAGGCAGCAGUGGGGAAUAUUGCACAAUGGGCGGAAGCCUGAUGCAGCAACGCCGCGUGCGGGAUGACGGCCUUCGGGGUGUAAACCGCUUUCGCCUGUGACGAAGCGUGAGUGACGGUAAUGGGUAAAGAAGCACCGGCUAACUACGUG
Molecule: ribosomal RNA, 468 nt
Filed under: uncultured bacterium
Lineage: Bacteria
Description: partial 16S ribosomal RNA
Rfam family: Bacterial small subunit ribosomal RNA
Source: RNAcentral